This is a long non-coding RNA of Colias croceus (clouded yellow), 452 nucleotides long. RefSeq lists it as uncharacterized. Lineage: Eukaryota; Metazoa; Arthropoda; Insecta; Lepidoptera; Pieridae. The record is from RefSeq and is a predicted model, not a curated record. The transcript is spliced from 2 exons.
AACAAAUUUUAAUCGUCGAGAACCAAAUUUUUUAAUUUUCAUUGCACUAGAAAUAAGUCUAUGCAUUAAUAAACUAAUAUCUAAUUAAGUCAUUACAAUAACAAGCCUUGGAAAAUCGUAUGAAAAAUAAAAUUAACAUCGACACUUAUUAUUGGCAUUCAUUUAUUUUUAUUACUUGUUAAUUCUACGCUUGAUUCAAUACGGUUUAUAAUUAUAGUAUAAAAAGACGUUUGGAUCAGAACAAAAUUAUAUUUCUCUUUGAACGAAGAAAAAUAAACAACAAUGAAAAACAUUUUUGUGGUAGCCAUGGUAGUCAUCAUGACGGUAGUCGCGGUUGCUAUGGGCCAAUGCCCCAACUGCCAUCCGCGUGAAGAAAUCCCAUCACCUUGAGUUCAGCCGUUUUCGUGAUGUGUAACAGUUUAAUUUUGAAAUAAACUGAAAUUGCAUAUUUA